GAUUUCUCAUUUUCACAUCUCACCUGGUAAACAAAUUUAAAAUAAGUCAAAACUAGUAAUACAAUGAAUGGAACCAGCAAUCAGAAAACCAAUGGCAUAUCAUCUACAAAUUCUAGGCUCCAAAACUAACAACGUAAACAAACACAUAAGCAUAUAUGGAGAAAUCAUUAUGCACAAGAGUGAUACCGGGAUAAGCUUUUGCUCCUGC
RNAcentral lists this unclassified non-coding RNA (208 nucleotides) under Hevea brasiliensis (rubber tree). Lineage: Eukaryota; Viridiplantae; Streptophyta; Magnoliopsida; Malpighiales; Euphorbiaceae. The record is from RNAcentral.